Molecule: ribosomal RNA, 720 nt
Filed under: Triticum aestivum (bread wheat)
Lineage: Eukaryota; Viridiplantae; Streptophyta; Magnoliopsida; Poales; Poaceae
Description: partial small subunit ribosomal RNA
Source: RNAcentral
AUGGCCGCCGCCUCCGCGCCGCUGCUGCUCGCCCUGGCGCUCGCCUGCGCCGCCUCCCUGGCCGCCGCGGGGGACACCAACCGCGUCUACGACCCUUGCACCGACACCAAGAUCCAGCGCGGGGACGGCUUCACCUUCGGCCUCGCCUUCGCCGCCAACGGCGCCUUCUACUCCGGCUCCACGCAGCUCUCCCCCUGCGACCGCCGCCUCACCCAGCUCUCCCAGCUCUCCCUCUUCCGCCCCAAGGUCGACGAGAUCUCCCUCCUCACCGUCAACACCACCAUUGGCUUCAGCCCCGCCUCAGCUGGUGGGUACAUGGUAGCAUUUGCUGGCAGGAAGUAUGCAGCCAGAUCUCAACCAGUCUUUGUCUCCAAUUCCUCAGUUACAGUGUCCAGCUUCACCCUGGUUCUUGAAUUCAACAAAGGCAAGCUUCAGAACCUGCACUGGAAGAAGGACGGGUGUGGUGCCUGCACAGGGAAGCCAAACUUCAUCUGCCUCGGCAAGCAAACCUGCGCCAUCAGAACAAACAUCUGCAAGAGCAAUAACCAGGGAUCCAUGGACUGCAGCAUCGGCAUCCAGCUGGCCUUCUCGGGCACGGACAAGCACGAGUCGGUCCUCAACUCGUGGUACGAGGUGUCGAACCUGCAGCAGUACUCGCUCUACGGGCUGUACUCGAACGUGAAGGGGUCCCUGAGCGGCCAGUUCAACAAGUUCUUCUAG